GGAGGGGUGGCAGAGCGGUCGAAUGCGGCGGUCUUGAAAACCGUUGUGCAGGCAACUGCACCGGGGGUUCGAAUCCCUCCCCCUCCGCCA
Molecule: transfer RNA, 90 nt
Filed under: Verrucomicrobiales bacterium
Lineage: Bacteria; Pseudomonadati; Verrucomicrobiota; Verrucomicrobiia; Verrucomicrobiales
Description: tRNA-Ser
Rfam family: tRNA
About the family: Transfer RNA (tRNA) molecules are approximately 80 nucleotides in length. Their secondary structure includes four short double-helical elements and three loops (D, anti-codon, and T loops).
Source: RNAcentral